Molecule: ribosomal RNA, 253 nt
Filed under: uncultured bacterium
Lineage: Bacteria
Description: partial 16S ribosomal RNA
Rfam family: Bacterial small subunit ribosomal RNA
Source: RNAcentral
UACAGAGGUCCCGAGCGUUGUUCGGAUUCACUGGGCGUAAAGGGUGCGUAGGCGGUCGGGUAAGUCUGACGUGAAAUCUUCAAGCUCAACUUGGAAACUGCGUCGGAUACUAUUCGGCUAGAGGAAUGGAGGGGAGACUGGAAUACUUGGUGUAGCAGUGAAAUGCGUAGAUAUCAAGUGGAACACCAGUGGCGAAGGCGAGUCUCUGGACAUUUCCUGACGCUGAGGCACGAAAGCGUGGGGAGCAAACAGG